RNAcentral lists this unclassified non-coding RNA (395 nucleotides) under Hevea brasiliensis (rubber tree). Lineage: Eukaryota; Viridiplantae; Streptophyta; Magnoliopsida; Malpighiales; Euphorbiaceae. The record is from RNAcentral.
GUGGCCCCAAUGAGGACAAAAUCCAAACAGAUCCACCUCAUAAGCACCGGCAAUCCGGCAUUGUUAUCGCUCCUCAGUCGUCACCCAUCACUCAUCAGUGAACACUUGAACACAGUACUCUUCGUCUCAUCGUAGAUUCCAUCCCUGACUGUACACUGUCUCACUAACAAGUACUGAAGCCGCAUAAUACCCAGAUUCUCCUUUAGCUCCACGCACUCGCUAUCCAGAUCCCAAAGAUUUCCGCUUUGCAUCAAUAUCCCAACAAUGGGCGGUACGAAAUCGGCUUGCCAUAGUUCCAGUCUGUGGCUGUCUCCUAACCCUAGUAAGAGAUGGGGCGAGCUUUUCUUUCUUUGCUAUACACCUUUCUGGCUUACUCUCUGUCUGCGCAUUGUCGU